Molecule: ribosomal RNA, 497 nt
Filed under: uncultured bacterium
Lineage: Bacteria
Description: partial 16S ribosomal RNA
Rfam family: Bacterial small subunit ribosomal RNA
Source: RNAcentral
GAUGAACGCUGGCGGCGUGCCUAAUACAUGCAAGUCGAGCGAACAGAUGAGGAGCUUGCUCCUCUGACGUUAGCGGCGGACGGGUGAGUAACACGUGGAUAACCUACCUAUAAGACUGGGAUAACUUCGGGAAACCGGAGCUAAUACCGGAUAAUAUAUUGAACCGCAUGGUUCAAUAGUGAAAGACGGUUUUGCUGUCACUUAUAGAUGGAUCCGCGCCGCAUUAGCUAGUUGGUAAGGUAACGGCUUACCAAGGCAACGAUGCGUAGCCGACCUGAGAGGGUGAUCGGCCACACUGGAACUGAGACACGGUCCAGACUCCUACGGGAGGCAGAAGUAGGGAAUCUUCCGCAAUGGGCGAAAGCCUGACGGAGAAACGCAGCGUGAGUGAUGAAGGUCUUCGGAUCGUAAAACUCUGUUAUUAGGGAAGAACAAAUGUGUAAGUAACUAGGCACGUCUUGACGGUACCUAAUCAGAAAGACACGGCUAACUACGUG